Molecule: transfer RNA, 76 nt
Filed under: Mycoplasmataceae bacterium
Lineage: Bacteria; Bacillati; Mycoplasmatota; Mollicutes; Mycoplasmatales; Mycoplasmataceae
Description: tRNA-Ala
Rfam family: tRNA
About the family: Transfer RNA (tRNA) molecules are approximately 80 nucleotides in length. Their secondary structure includes four short double-helical elements and three loops (D, anti-codon, and T loops).
Source: RNAcentral
GGGGGAUUAGCUCAGCUGAUAGAGCACCUGAUUUGCAUUCAGGGGGUCAGGGGUUUGAGUCCCCUAUCCUCCACCA